GGCUUUAUAUUCAAGUAUGAUUUUAAAUUGCAAGUUUAAAGGUGGGGGAGCCCUAAGGCUU
RNAcentral lists this transfer RNA (61 nucleotides) under Coraebus cloueti. RNAcentral's name for it is "tRNA-Cys". The record is from RNAcentral. Lineage: Eukaryota; Metazoa; Arthropoda; Insecta; Coleoptera; Buprestidae.